GGGGGGGGCGGGGGGGGGGCGGGGGGCGGGGGGGGCGGGCGAGCAGACGAGGAGCGUGCGCCGCGGACGGUAGCGGGGGGCGGGGGAGUAACACGGGGAGAACCGACGGAGAAGACGGGGAUAACUUCGGGCACCCGGAGCUAAUACCGGGGAAGCUAGGGAACCGCAUGGGUCCACGGUGAAAGACGGUUUUGCUGUCACGUGUACGUGGAUCCGCGCCGCAUGAGCUAGUUUGUAAGGUAACGGCUUAACAAGGCGACCAUGCGGAGCCGACCGGAGAGGGUGAUCGGCCACACUGGAACUGAGACACGGUCCAGACUCCUACGGGAGGCAGCAGUAGGGAAUCUUCCGCAGUGGGCGAAAGCCUGACGGAGCAACGCCGCGUGAGUGAUGAAGGGCUUCGGAUCGUAAAACUCUGUUAUUAGGGAAGAACAAAUGUGUAAGUAACUAUGCACGUCUUGACGGUACCUAUCAGAAAGCCACGGCUAACUACGUG
Molecule: ribosomal RNA, 496 nt
Filed under: uncultured bacterium
Lineage: Bacteria
Description: partial 16S ribosomal RNA
Rfam family: Bacterial small subunit ribosomal RNA
Source: RNAcentral